UGCAGAAGGAAACGCAUGUCUUUUCUCUACUUGACGCGUUUGAUGUGUCCUUUAGUUUUAUUUUAUGAGUAUUUUGCUUAUAAAAUUUGCAGAUGAUUGAUUGAUCCCUGUACUGUUAGCAAUUGGGAGAACAUUUAGGCAAAGUUUGGACCUUUUUUACUUUCAACGGUGUGCCUAUAAGCUGUUCGAGAAAAUGACUCAGCGAGAACAAGUUGCAACUGAAGAAGAUGAAGUAGUAAUAACCUGAAGUUUGUUUCGUUUGGUUGUUCAGGUGAAACAAUGCUGGCGAAGACAUUUAUCUCGAGACAUUUUGUUCUCAUCAGCUACUUCAAAGACGCUUAAGGUGGGAGAUGUUUUAAGAGAAGCGAGAGUGUUCUCAAGUGAAGGGCUAUGCUGAGUAUAAAUGCAUGGACUAAGAUGACGAGGGACGCAGAUGUGCGAAGACUUACCACAGCAUAGCCCUUAACACAUACUAGCCCUUAGCAGUUUUUGAUGAAACCAUCAAACUUUAGCUUGCUGAAGGAGUUUCUCUUGGUGGUUGAGGUUGGGGCAGGAUACUCGAGACUCGCGUUUCCAGGGCAAGACAUAGCAAAUCAAACUGAAAUGGAUAUCCUAGUUUUUCAAAUCAAAUUGAAACUGAUAACAAAUCAAAUCAAUUUUCACAUAUAUUUUGUCCACUCUUUUGGUAAGUAACAGAAAAAAAAAUCUUUUAAAAAAGUAACCU
Molecule: long non-coding RNA, 724 nt
Organism: Raphanus sativus (radish)
Lineage: Eukaryota; Viridiplantae; Streptophyta; Magnoliopsida; Brassicales; Brassicaceae
Exons: 2
Source: RefSeq, a predicted model, not a curated record